UAGGGAAUAUUGGUAAUGGGCGAAAGCCUGAACCAGCAACGCCGCGUGUGCGAUGAAGGCCUUCGGGUUGUAAAGCACUUUUUGAGGGGAUGAGGAAGGACAGUACCCUCAGAAUAAGUCUCGGCUAACUACGUGCCAGCAGCCGCGGUAACACGUAGGAGACUAGCGUUAUCCGGAUUUACUGGGCGUAAAGCGCGUGCAGGUGGCUCGGAAAGUUCGAUGUGAAAGCUCCCGGCUUAACUGGGAGAGGUCGUUGAAUACUUUCGGGCUAGAGGAUGGGAGAGGGAGCGGAAUUCCGGGUGUAGUGGUGAAAUGCGUAGAUAUCCGGAGGAACACCAGUGGCGAAAGCGGCCUCCUGGCCCAUUUCUGACACUCAGACGCGAAAGCUAGGGUAGCAAAC
Molecule: ribosomal RNA, 400 nt
Filed under: uncultured bacterium
Lineage: Bacteria
Description: bacterial SSU rRNA
Rfam family: Bacterial small subunit ribosomal RNA
Source: RNAcentral